UGAAUGGUUUGACGAGAGCUAUGCUGUCUCUUUCGAAAUAUUUAAAAAUUAACCUUUAGGUGAAGAGGCCUGAAUUUAUUUAAGGGACAAGAAGACCCUGUUGAGCUUUAGUGAUUUUAUAAAUUUACAGGUAAUCUAGUUAAUGAUUAUAGUUCGGUAUAUUAAUAUAUAACAUAGGUUUAUAGGUAAUCUUUAGUUGGGGCGACUGAGGAACACAUAAAGCUUCCUUGAAUUUAAGAGCGUGUUAAGCAAUUUAGUUUACUGAUGCAUUUAUGUUAAUUUUGAUCCAAUUUAUUUUGAUUAAGAGAAAAAGUUACCACAGGGAUAACAGCGUAAUCUUUCUGGAGAGAUCUAAUCNAAAGAAGGGUUUGCGACCUCGAUGUUGGACUAAGAUAUCCUGAGGGUGUAGAAGUUCUCAAAGGUUGGUCUGUUCNACCAUUAAAAUCUU
Molecule: ribosomal RNA, 448 nt
Filed under: Phorcus turbinatus
Lineage: Eukaryota; Metazoa; Mollusca; Gastropoda; Trochida; Trochidae
Description: partial 16S ribosomal RNA
Rfam family: Bacterial large subunit ribosomal RNA
Source: RNAcentral